GAAUCUGCCCUCAGGAGGGGGAUAACGGUUGGAAACGACCGCUAAUACCCCAUAUGCCGAGAGGUGAAAUGAAAUUCGCCUGAGGAUGAGCUCGCGUCUGAUUAGCUAGUUGGUAAGGUAAUGGCUUACCAAGGCAUUGAUCAGUAGCUGGUCUGAGAGGAUGAUCAGCCACACUGGGACUGAGACACGGCCCAGACUCCUACGGGAGGCAGCAGUGGGGAAUUUUCCGCAAUGGGCGCAAGCCUGACGGAGCAACGCCGCGUGAGGGAUGAAGGCCUCUGGGCUGUAAACCUCUUUUAUCAAGGAAGAAGAACUGACGGUACUUGAUGAAUAAGCCACGGCUAAUUCCGUGCCAGCAGCCGCGGUAAUACGGGAGUGGCAAGCGUCAUCCGGAAUUAUUGGGCGUAAAGCGUCCGCAGGCGGUUUUACAAGUCUGUCGUUAAAGCGUGGAGCUCAACUCCAUUUCAGCGAUGGAAACUGUAAGACUCGAGUGUGGUAGGGGCAGAGGGAAUUCCCGGUGUAGUGGUGAAAUGCGUAGAUAUCGGGAAGAACACCAGUGGCGAAAGCGCUCUGCUGGGCCAUAACUGACGCUCAUGGACGAAAGCCAGGGGAGCG
RNAcentral lists this ribosomal RNA (615 nucleotides) under uncultured Synechococcus sp. RNAcentral describes it as "bacterial SSU rRNA". It matches the Rfam family "Bacterial small subunit ribosomal RNA", at positions 122 to 770 of the family's 1533-position model. The record is from RNAcentral. Lineage: Bacteria; Bacillati; Cyanobacteriota; Cyanophyceae; Synechococcales; Synechococcaceae.